GCGAGAGUAGUUCAGUGGCAGAAUAUCGGCUUCCCAAGCCGAGGGUCGCGGGUUCGAAUCCCGUCUCUCGCUCCA
RNAcentral lists this transfer RNA (75 nucleotides) under Clostridia bacterium. RNAcentral's name for it is "tRNA-Gly". It matches the Rfam family "tRNA". From Rfam's summary of the family: Transfer RNA (tRNA) molecules are approximately 80 nucleotides in length. Their secondary structure includes four short double-helical elements and three loops (D, anti-codon, and T loops). The record is from RNAcentral. Lineage: Bacteria; Bacillati; Bacillota; Clostridia.